Molecule: ribosomal RNA, 485 nt
Filed under: uncultured bacterium
Lineage: Bacteria
Description: bacterial SSU rRNA
Rfam family: Bacterial small subunit ribosomal RNA
Source: RNAcentral
AGAGUUUGAUCAUGGCUCAGAAUCAACGCUGGCGGCGUGCCUCAGACAUGCAAGUCGAACGAUUAAGACUCUCUUCGGAGAGUGUAUAAAGUGGCGCACGGGUGAGUAACACGUAGGUAAUGUACCGAAGGGUGGGGAAUAACUUAGGGAAACUUAAGCUAAUACCGCAUAAUGCAGCGGCAUCGUAAGAUGACAGUUGUUAAAGAUUUAUCGCUUGAAGAGGAGCUUGCGGCAGAUUAGCUAGUUGGUAAGGUAAUGGCUUACCAAGGCUACGAUCUGUAACCGGUCUUAGAGGACGGUCGGUCACACUGACACUGAAUAACGGGUCAGACUCCUACGGGAGGCAGCAGUCGGGAAUUUUGGGCAAUGGGCGAAAGCCUGACCCAGCAACGCCGCGUGAAGGAUGAAGUAUUUCGGUAUGUAAACUUCGAAAGAAUAGGAAGAAUAAAUGACGGUACUAUUUAUAAGGUCCGGCUAACUACGUG